AUCCAAAGUCACUCUGCAGGGCAUAGUCCUUUACAUAUAGAAGGCGCUUGAUGAAUAUGGGUUGAAUUGAAAUGCAAGGGAGCUAUCACUAAACACAGCAUUGAAAUGUUGAAGGAUACAUUGAUAUUUCCUUACUCUCUCCAUUACAGGUCAUUCUCCUCAGUUUGGGAGAAAGAAUUGACAUUUACCAGAUGAUUUGCAACUGGGUAGGAAAAAUAAAUAGGAAUAGGAAACAUCACUAUCUCAGGGACAAGACUUGGAUAAUGUGCAUACACAGAAAAGGAGAUGGAGGGUAUUCCUGUAAAGGCUGCUGUUAUAAUGAUAGUACCAAAACUGAAGAACAUGCUAAUUGAUUUCUUCUAAUAACAUUGUGAAAAUCAUGGUCUCCGAGAAUAGGAUACCUUCCUUCUAGCCACAUCAUCACUGAAGCUGAAGCACUUUUCUUUUUCCUGUUCAGCGUUGAACACUUUGAAUAUAUUAUGGCAAUGAUGAUUUGUUUGUGCCAUCGUGUGUGUGUGUAUGUGUAUUUAUAUGCCAAUAAAACGUUUCCAUUAACAAAACUCAUUGAAAACAAAUUCUAUGUCUACUUGUGAUUUAUCUUUCCCGAGACCUCAAAUAUCUAGAAAUAUUAUUUGC
This 636-nucleotide long non-coding RNA is filed under the name Macaca mulatta (Rhesus monkey). RNAcentral's name for it is "lncRNA (ENSMMUG00000042866.2)". Lineage: Eukaryota; Metazoa; Chordata; Mammalia; Primates; Cercopithecidae. The record is from RNAcentral.